ACUAUAUGCGAUGGAUAUCUUGGCUCUUGAUUCGAUGAAGAACGCAGCGAAAUGCGAUAGGUAAUGCGAAUUGCAGAACUCUGUGAGUCAUCAAAUUUUUGAACGCAUAUUGCACUUCCUUUGGGAGUAUACUUGUUUGAGUAUUGUUUGAUUGGUUUAACUAGAGAUAGUUGAAUUGGGAUAAUAUGUUAUGUAUCCUUGAGGAAAUGAUUUUGUAUGAUGAGCAUUGUAUUUGAUGAGGUAGUUACCACAUUGAAUGGAGUGUUUGUGAUAUAAGAGAUGAGUUGUUGUAAUAGCACAGCAUCUCGUCGGGCUUCGCCCUCCUCGAUAAAUCAAUCUCAAAUCAAGUAAGAAGACCUGCUGAAUUGAAGCAUCUAAUUAAGCAGAGGAAAAGAAAAUAACAAUGAUUCUCUUAGUAACGGCGAGUGAAUAGGGAAUAGCCCAAGCCUGAAUCGACCUAGUCGAGUUGUGGUGUGUAUAGUAUUUGAGAAUGAAUGGUAUUGGAUAUAAUUUGGCUGGAAAGUCAAGUCAUAGAAGGUGAAAGCCCUGUAUAUGAUUCAAUAUUGUUCAAGCAUUGAAUACUAUUGGAGUCGAGCUGUUUGGGAUUGCAGCUCUAAGUUGGUGGUGAACUCCAUCAAAGGCUAAAUAUGAUCAAGAGACCGAUAGCGAACAAGUACCGUGAGGGAAAGAUGAAAAGAACUUUGAAAAAAGAGUGAAAUAGUACUUGAAAUCGUAUAUAGGUUAAGCGAAGAUUGUGUGUAGAUUGUAUUCAAUGUGCUGAUGAUCGUAGAUGAUUGGUUUAUUGUAUGCAAUGAGGGUAUGUGGGUUGCAGGUAAUCAAAAUAUGAUUGCUAACGACCCGUCAUACCCACAUCACACACUCUUCGUCCCGUCUUGAAACACGGACCAAGGAGUCUAUCCUUUAUGCAAGUAGUAUGGUGUUAAACCAAUAUGCAUAAUGAAAGUAAGAGGUGUGAAACUUUUGAAGUGUCAACAUCUGCCGAUCAUAAUUCUUUGAUGAAAGAUUCGAGUAUGAGCAUAUAGGGUGGGACCCGAAAGAUGGUGAACUAUGCCUGAAUAGGACGAAGCCAGGGGAAACUCUGGUGGAGGUUCGAUUGGAUUCUAACGUGCAAAUUGAUCUUUAAAUUUGGGUAUAGGGGCGAAAGACUAAUCGAACCAUCUAGUAGCUGGUUCAUUCCGAAAUUUCCCUCAGGAUAGCUGCAACUUUUGAAAUAGUUUUAUGAGGUAAAGCGAAUGAUUAGAGGUUUCUGGGAUGGAAUAUCCUGGACCUAUUCUCAAACUUUCAAUGGGUAAGAAAUCGGGGAUGUUUAAUUAAUCUCUGAGUUUGAAUAUGAGUUGCAAGUGGGCCAUUCCGGGUAAGCUGGACUGGCAAUGCGGGAUCAACCGAACGCUAUGUUACGGUGCCUUAUUAUUCGCUCAGUUCGAUGUAAAAGGUGUUAGUUCAUCUAGACAGCAGGACGGUGGCCAUGGAAGUCGGAAUCCGCUAAGGAGUGUGUAACAACUCACCUGCCGAAUGAAGUAGCCCUGAAAAUGGAUGGCGCUAAAGCGAAUAACCUAUACAUAGCCAACACAAUUAGGAUUGUAUGGUGUUGAGUAGGAAUGCGUGAUGAAUGUUGUGAAGUAUAUCGUGUGAACGAAUAUGGAACAUUCAUUAGUGCAGAUCUUGGUGGAAGUAGCAAAUAUUCAAAUGAGAUCUUUGAAGACUGAAGUGGAGAAAGGUUCCAUAGGAAUAGUGAUUAUCUAUGGGUUAGUCGAUCCUAAGAGAUAAGUGAAAUCUGUUGAAAGUAUAACAUUUGGUUAUAAGUUAUCGAAAGGGAAUCAGGUUAAUAUUCCUGAACCAAAUAGUAUAAGAAACGGUAACGUAUAUUCCUCUUGAGACAUUUCUAUUAUUCCCAGGAAGAGUUUUCUUUUCUUGUUAACAAUAUUUGAGUGCUUGGAAUUAAUUCAGUUAGCGAUAAGCAUUGAAUAUUGGUAAAGUAGUAUACUAUUGUAUAUUAUCUGGUGCAAUGAUAGGGAUCCUUGAAAAUGAAGAGGUAAAAUCUUAGAAUAUUUGGUCGUACUAAUAACCGCAUCAGGUCUCCAAGGUGAAUAGCCUCUAGUUAAUAGAAUAAUGUAGAUAAGGGAAGUCGGCAAAUUAGAUCCGUAACUUCGGGAAAAGGAUUGGCUCUGAGGGCUAAGUGGAUAUGAGUGUUAGGUAUGUGUUGGUAUGGUAUGAAUGUUGUUUUUGAUGGCUUCGGUUGUUGAGAAUGGCAUUUAUAGUAUUCCUACCCAUCCUGUCACUCUCCCACUAUGAAUAGCUAACUCAGAACUGGUACGGACAAGGGGAAUCCGACUGUUUAAUUAAAACAAAGCAUUGUGAUAGUGUGAAAGAUAUAUUGACACAAUGUGAAUUCUGCCCAGUGCUCUGAAUGUCAAAGUGGCGUAAUUCAACCAAGCGCGGGUAAACGGCGGGAGUAACUAUGACUCUCUUAAGGUAGCCAAAUGCCUCGUCAUCUAAUUAGUGACGCGCAUGAAUGGAU
RNAcentral lists this ribosomal RNA (2539 nucleotides) under human gut metagenome. RNAcentral's name for it is "eukaryotic LSU rRNA". The stretch from base 334 to 2539 matches the Rfam family "Eukaryotic large subunit ribosomal RNA", at positions 1 to 2324 of the family's 3401-position model. The record is from RNAcentral.